This 264-nucleotide ribosomal RNA is filed under the name uncultured bacterium. Its description in RNAcentral is "partial 16S ribosomal RNA". It matches the Rfam family "Bacterial small subunit ribosomal RNA", at positions 92 to 354 of the family's 1533-position model. The record is from RNAcentral.
CGACCGGCGCACGGGUGAGUAACACGUAUGAAACCUGCCCGUAGCAGGGGGAUAAGCGGAAGAAAUUCCGUCUAAUACGGCAUAAUGCAUCGACGGGACAUCCUGUUGGUGCCAAAGGUUGAUUCCGGUGGCGGAUGGGCAUGCGUCGCAUUAGCUAGUCGGCGGGGUAACGGCCCACCGAGGCGACGAUGCGUAGGGGUUCUGAGAGGAAGGCCCCCCACACUGGUACUGAGACACGGACCAGACUCCUACGGAAGGCAGCAG